Marmota monax (woodchuck) is the source of this 3436-nucleotide long non-coding RNA. RefSeq lists it as uncharacterized. Lineage: Eukaryota; Metazoa; Chordata; Mammalia; Rodentia; Sciuridae. The record is from RefSeq and is a predicted model, not a curated record. The transcript is spliced from 4 exons.
GUCCCCACAUGCAGGCCACUGCCAGGUGGCUCCCCCCGGGGCUCCUCCCUGUCACAGCAUCAGAAAGCUCUGCCACGGGACCCAGGCCUGGGUGGGCAGGGGCAGUGGGGUCCCAGCCUCUUUUGCCUGAGCUCACUGACCCCGAGGGAAGGACACAUUCAGGGUGCAGGCAAUGUGGGCACCCUGCGCUGCGGCACCCUUGCCCAAGGGAGUCCACCUGGUGCACUACUGUGGAUGUCCAGCAGAUGGCGUGGCCUGGGCAGGUUGCGGCAGGAGGUCUGGCGGACCCACCUUGGUGCAGGUGAGGAAACUGAGGCUGGUUCCCCUUCCCCUUGCACACAGGGGAAUUCAUUCCAGGUCCCAUGUCUGGGGGCCCUUGCUCUGUGCUGGGGGCUGGGAACCAAGUGAGCCAACCUGAUGGACUCUCCGAAGCUCGUUCAUCUCGAGGGAAGAGGAACACGCUCCACAGGGAUCACCUGACCCUGAAACACUGCUGCUCACCCCACACCCCACACAGUCUGCCGUAGGACCCUUGCUUGGCCACCUGUGUCCCCUGAGGCUGCGCCCUUACCUCCAUGUGCCUCUUGAUCCUCCCAUACCACAACCCUCUUGAGAGUCCAGCCUCUUCCAGCUGAGUGGGCAAGGUCCUUCUGCGUGGACAGAGUGUGGGGCGUGGGGUCUGCACAGCCCGUCCACAGCUCCACCCUGCUGCAGCCGUGUGGCCCUGGGCGAGGGCCUCUUCUCCUGAUUGUCACAGUUCAGCAGAACGUAGGUGUCCAGACUCUCUACAGGGGUCCUGGGUCCCCUCACUCAGGGCCUCGAUGGGUCUAUCCCUGGUUUUCUUUUUCUUUUUUGAGGGUGACAGUGUUUAAGUUGCAUUCCCCCAAAAUAUGUUCAGGGCAAACCCCAGAACCCACGUGACCUUAUUAGGGAGUAGGGUCCCUGCAGAAGGGCCAGUGGCGAGGGGGUCACACUGCAGCAGGGUGGCUCUGCCCUGACCCCACCGCCGGUGUCCUUACAAGAGGAGUGAGACAUGGAGACACAGAAGGCCACCUGAAGAGAGACCAAGGGUUAGAGUGAAGUGACCACAAUCCGAGGGACACGCAGAGCCCCAGGAGCUGGGGGAGGCAGGAAGGGAGCCCAGAACCUGGGCGGGAGCAGGGCGCCAUGGCACCUUGACCCUGGACUCGUCUCCACACGGUAAACACCCAUCUCCGGCUCUGAAGCCUCCCAGCUCUGGUCCCUUGUCACAGCCAGGAACUGAGGGCCGGCUCCCCGGCUCCCAUCUCCUCUGAGGCCCAGCCGGGGAGGUGUGUUGGCCUGGGCCAGGUGGGCGCCUCUGGGCUGGGGAACAGGUGCUACCUGCAGACCUCCGCGUGGGCGCUUGGUGCACGCAGCGCGCCUGUCCUCCUGGCCUGGCCACGAGGGCUCUGUGAUGCGCCUGCGUGGUGCUCCAGGUGAGACUGGCGUUGAAGCAGUGGCCAGUGCUGGAAUCCCAUCGUGGCCCCUCACAAGUGCUCAGCUGACUUCACCUCUGGGCCCCGGUUUCCUGCUCUGUGCUCGGGGCUGGGGAGACCCACCUGGCUCCCAGGGCAUCUGUGAGGACGAAGCCAGACCCUGCUGUCCAGCGCACGGCAGACCUGGUCAGAGGCCCCCCCAGGCCUUUUCCCUGGCUGCUCCUUGCCAGAGCACCCUCGCUGCCUGUCCAGGAGGUGGGUAUGGCAGGGCAGGGAGGCCAUGGGCAGAGGUCCUCCCCGUGCAGACUGCCCAGCCCUAGGUCUCUGGCCACAGCUGUGAUUAUCCACAGCUGAUGGCCAGCAUUCCCCCAUCCUGCCAGGACUUUCAGGAAAACAGCUGGACGGCUGGUGAUUCCCGGGCCCUGCCCUGCAUGGCCGUCCUGGCCAGCUGGACCCUGGGCUCUGCAGGCUCAGAGGAAGCCCAGCUGCUCUCCAGCUUCAGGACAGCCCAGCUGUGGGCCACGGCCUCAGUGACCCUGCAGACCCCUCCCAGCUCAGCUCUGGCCUGCUUCCCUUCCAGAGGGGGCAGAAAGCAGAGCCCCAGCCCACUGGCCCGGGGGUCGGGCAGAGCCAUGGCCUCCCACAGGCGGGACAUUCUGGAAGCCGUGUGGCCUGAAGAGUCCCUGCCAGCGCCUCCUGCCUGGCCAGGCGUGGGGUCACAGGCGGCGACCUCAGACACAGCAGAACUCCACCCCGUCUUCACCAACCCUGGGGCUGCCGUUAGGGUGAGGAGGCGCAGGUCUCAGGGACUGGCCAGGCUGUGGCGCUGCGGCUCACAGACCGAGAUGGGGCUGUGUUGGCCAGUCGGGCAGGGAGCUCCCUAGAACCAUCCGACCCCAUCCCGCCAGGCAGGUGCUGGCACCCUGCUUUGCAGAGGCGUCCUUGGCUGCUCGAGGUGCCGCGGCUUGCUGAUGCAGACGUCGGGUCACUCGGUCUUGGUGCAGACUGCUCCCCCUUAGGCAGCGGCCCUACUCACAUUUUGUCUGUGCACCGAAAACAUUGUUCUGAGAAAGGAUGCGCUUCACCAGAAUGCCAAGGGGCCUGGCACAGAAAGGCUGGGGCCCUGCUUCACAGGGCGCCAGAAAACAGCAGCCGUGGUGAGCAGACCAGAGGCUGCCCCAGCUCCCUCGGAUACCCAGGCUGCACGGCACCCAAGUGAGCUCUGCCGGGCAGAACCUGACUCCCGGACGGGGCCCAGGAAACGCGUUCUCACAACUGGCCCCACCCCACUGCCUUGGUCAGCACCGUCAAGGUUGUUGGAUUGAGUGUCCUGCCAACGCCGCCUCAAGACAAGCCCCCAGGCCCCACUUCUGGUUCUGAAAGCACGUCCACUCCCCGCAACCAAAAUGACAACCCAAAGUAGCAGCCGUCAUUACCAAGUGUCCCCUGGGAAGGCCUGCCCUGGUUGGACAUCUAAGCAAGCCCCAAGUGGGGAGCCCAGGCGACAGUGACACAAAAGGCCCGCCCUCUCCUCUUCUACGGGGUGGACGCAGCAACAUUCUGGCCUAAAUCGAGGAUUAAGAGAGAAGGAUCUGUUAAUUGUGUAUUUACCAAGAAAAGCGAUUCCUCAGCCCACACGUUCAUGUUUCAUCGUCCGGAGCACAAGUCAGCGCAGACUCUAAGGCCCCGAUCCAGGAACACUUCAUUGGAUCACGUUCACCCUGAACGUCACCAGCCUCCUCAGGUCCUCAGACUCUCCCUGGGAUCCUGAUUCCUACAGGAAUCUGCAUUCGCCUCUCUCUGGCCUCAGCCACACGAACAGCAGCGACCCCAGCAGCCCCGAACGCUGAACCGGGACCCUUGGCCGGAAGACCCCGACCUGAGGUUUCCUCCAAGUGCUGGAAGCCGUGGCAGUUUUGUCCCCCACACCCACGCCCUUCCUGGGAGACGAGAAGAAAUCUCUACCUUCCAUUUCUGUG